This 253-nucleotide ribosomal RNA is filed under the name uncultured prokaryote. RNAcentral describes it as "partial 16S ribosomal RNA". It matches the Rfam family "Bacterial small subunit ribosomal RNA", at positions 525 to 777 of the family's 1533-position model. The record is from RNAcentral.
ACGUAGGCAGCAAGCGUUGUUUGGAGUUACUGGGCGUAAAGGGUGUGUAGGCGGUUCUUUAAGUUUGGUGUGAAAUCUCCCGGCUCAACCGGGAGGGUGCGCCGAAAACUGAAGGGCUAGAGUUCGGGAGAGGAGAGUGGAAUUCCCAGUGUAGAGGUGAAAUUCGUAGAUAUUGGGAAGAACACCGGUGGCGAAGGCGGCUCUCUGGACCGAGACUGACGCUGAGGCGCGAAAGCGUGGGGAGCAAACAGGA